UUUAGAGUUUGAUCCCUGGCUCAGAACGAACGCUGGCGGCGUGCCUAACACAUGCAAGUCGAGCGAGAAAGUUCCCUUCGGGGAGCGAGUAAAGCGGCGAACGGGUGAGUAACACGUGAGCAAUCUCCCUUCGGGUCUGGGAUAACAUCCCGAAAGGGGUGCUAAUACCGGAUAAGACCACGGGGCCGCAUGGCCCAGAGGGAAAAGGUGGCCUCUCCAUGGAAGCUGUUGCCCGGAGAUGAGCUCGCGCACCAUUAGCUAGUUGGUAGGGUGACGGCCUACCAAGGCAACGAUGGUUAGCCGACCUGGGGGGGUGAUCGGCCACACUGGAACUGAGACACGGUCCAGACUCCUACGGGAGGCAGCAGUGGGGAAUCUUGCGCAAUGGGGGAAACCCUGACGCAGCAACGCCGCGUGCGCGAUGAAGGCCUUCGGGUCGUAAAGCGCUGUCAGGAGGGACGGAAAGGCCUGGUUUAACAGACCAGGCUCUGGACGUACCUCCAAAGAAGCCCCGGCAU
Molecule: ribosomal RNA, 518 nt
Filed under: uncultured bacterium
Lineage: Bacteria
Description: bacterial SSU rRNA
Rfam family: Bacterial small subunit ribosomal RNA
Source: RNAcentral